Molecule: ribosomal RNA, 460 nt
Filed under: uncultured bacterium
Lineage: Bacteria
Description: partial 16S ribosomal RNA
Rfam family: Bacterial small subunit ribosomal RNA
Source: RNAcentral
CCUACGGGAGGCAGCAGUGAGGAAUAUUGGUCAAUGGACGAGAGUCUGAACCAGCCAAGUAGCGUGAAGGAUGACUGCCCUAUGGGUUGUAAACUUCUUUUAUAUGGGAAUAAAAUGUUCCACGUGUGGGAUUUUGUAUGUACCAUAUGAAUAAGGAUCGGCUAACUCCGUGCCAGCAGCCGCGGUAAUACGGAGGAUCCGGGCUUUAUCCGGAUUUAUUGGGUUUAAAGGGAGCGUAGGUGGAUUGUUAAGUCAGUUGUGAAAGUUUGCGGCUCAACCGUAAAAUUGCAGUUGAAACUGGCAGUCGUGAGUACAGUAGAGGUGGGCGGAAUUCGUGGUGUAGCGGUGAAAUGCUUAGAUAUCACGAAGAACUCCGAUUGCGAAGGCAGCUCACUGGACUGCAACUGACACUGAGGCUCGAAAGUGUGGGUAUCAAACAGGAUUAGAUACCCGAGUAGUC